ACCGGUUUUCACAGACCCCCCACAUAGCCAAUACCAGUUAAAACAUGUACAUACGCGUUUAGACUUAGCAACUUCUACUUGUCAAAUCGGAUAAUGUCAAGAAUAGAGCAAGAACACCUGACAAUUGGGAAUUGCACGCACAAACCACUUCUUUUGUGUAAAUCAUAAGAAAGAGGCGCAAAGAAAUUUCAAAUAGCAAAGAACACGAUUCUAUUGCUUGCUGAGAGCUUUCUGCUGAGAUAUGGAGUUU
RNAcentral lists this unclassified non-coding RNA (250 nucleotides) under Hevea brasiliensis (rubber tree). The record is from RNAcentral. Lineage: Eukaryota; Viridiplantae; Streptophyta; Magnoliopsida; Malpighiales; Euphorbiaceae.